RNAcentral lists this long non-coding RNA (228 nucleotides) under Capsicum annuum. RNAcentral's name for it is "long non-coding RNA (CANN_LNC008987)". The record is from RNAcentral. Lineage: Eukaryota; Viridiplantae; Streptophyta; Magnoliopsida; Solanales; Solanaceae.
UGGGCUGGAAUUAUGCUUUAUUUGACACGCUCUAAGGCUCAAACUACGAGGGAACUUUGCGGGGUCUUACAAUAUCUCCCCCUGGAAACAUUUCUCCUCGAAUGUCGCUAGUUAGAUGAAGGACAUAGGAAGAACAUAGCACACAUAGCUGAAAUAAUUUCUAAAUAGCUCAAGACCUUUCUAAACUCAUGAAUACUCCGAACAAUGCAAGAACUCAUACAAGGAUAG